UCGGAGGUCGUCUAACGGUAGGACGUUAGGUUCUGGCCCUAAAAAUUGGGGUUCGAGUCCCUGCCUCCGAGCCA
Molecule: transfer RNA, 74 nt
Filed under: Patescibacteria group bacterium
Lineage: Bacteria
Description: tRNA-Gln
Rfam family: tRNA
About the family: Transfer RNA (tRNA) molecules are approximately 80 nucleotides in length. Their secondary structure includes four short double-helical elements and three loops (D, anti-codon, and T loops).
Source: RNAcentral